GUGUUUGGCUGCUUGGGAUGCAUCAUCCUUGGUAUUGCCCCUUUGUGACAUGUGGUGCUUUGAAUGAGUGCUAGCAGUUGGGUUAUCCUCCUGUCUGUCAUGCAUGCUGGCUGUUGGCCAGUUUUCAGUCAUGGGCCUGCAAGUAGCUGUAAUCCUGCGUGGUGAGCGACCAUGUGUAUUGCAGCAUUGCACCAUUUCCUUGGUCUUCACAGUGGGAGGGGUUGGCCAUGGUACCCUGUACUGGUGUGUCCACAUGGAGUGCUGUGCUUAACAUUUUGCCUUUUUCACAAGAGUGUGUCAUGGAUAUUGAGUGUGGGGUAGAAAUUUGAGGGUCUCUGUUGGCAACCUCCCUCUUUACUAGAUUAUCUCCAUUUAAUCA
Long non-coding RNA from Onychostoma macrolepis, 379 nucleotides. RefSeq lists it as uncharacterized. The transcript has 3 exons. The record is from RefSeq and is a predicted model, not a curated record. Lineage: Eukaryota; Metazoa; Chordata; Actinopteri; Cypriniformes; Cyprinidae.